RNAcentral lists this long non-coding RNA (1390 nucleotides) under Parus major (Great Tit). RNAcentral describes it as "lncRNA (ENSPMJG00000011086.1)". Lineage: Eukaryota; Metazoa; Chordata; Aves; Passeriformes; Paridae. The record is from RNAcentral.
UAACUCCCUUAGGUCUACAUAAGCAAAUGCUGAUGCUAAAAGAGGCAGUGCCAACUUCCUGCUGACCCAAUCAGUGUUUUCACUCUCUUUGCUUUCCCAGUGACUGCAAAUAGUCAUAUAUACAUAUGGGAGGAGGGGAAAGAAAGAGUUGGUUUUAACCCAAGCACUGUCCUGUUCCCACUCACUGUGUGGCUGCAUGAACAUCUGGCAGAUGGGAAGGAGAGACAUGCAAAUGGAAUUAAGCAGGCAGAGGACUGGAAGGUGAUGACCAUGACCCCAGAAAAAGCCUAGAGAAAACAACCUCUUUACGAGACAUACCUUGCAAUAGAUGUUUGUUUAACUGGAAAUCCACAAGAGCAGCUGCCCAGUGCAACGGUACAUAUUUGCUUCUGAAUCCUUUCUCAAAGACACUAUUUAAACAUGCUGAUGAACUGAGCUGGAUUUUCCCCCACCUCCAUUCCAGUAAAAUAAGGAGACUCAGAAGAUAAAAUUUGUUUUGUUAUUGCAAGUAGUGCUGUGUGGUAAGUGAGAAAUUUACUUUCUAUAGUCCUAUGUAAUUAUGAGGGUGGGAAAUGUCCAUUUCCUGUACAGAUGCAAUGUCUGUGAGUACUGCUCAGUGAUAUUUCUAUUUGAAAAUGAAUAUACUUCUAUUUCUAGAAGGGUUUGUGUGUAGAGCUUCUUCUUGUCCAUAUUUGGCUUGAUGCUAAAGAUCUGCUGCUCUAGCUUCACCACUCUGGCAAGAGGAAACAAGUAUUCCUUGUGUUGAGACUGUAAUUCCAAGCUAUACAAUGUGUUUCAGUCUGGUUCUGAUUUAUGUUAAGCUGUAAACAACUGAGAUUUAUAAUGUGGGUUUUAUGAUGUGUGCAGCUGGACUAGCUAUCACUAAGUUUCAUGCAGUAUCCUGAAUAGGAAGACUGAUAACAGAGAUUUUUCAAAUGCCCCAGAUCUGGGCUAAGUUUGAUGCUUUCACCUAGAGGGGAAAAUUUGUGCCUCCUGAGCCAGUUAUAUUUUACACUUUUUUUCUGGACUAGGUUUUAGCCUUUCCUCUGUCAUUUUCUGGAUGGGAAUCCCUUCACCCAGUGAAUAACUUUAAUUGGCAGAAGAAAUUUCUAAAGUGCUCCUUCUCUCUUAGAACUGUUUCUGCAGCCAUUCUACCUCCAAAGCCAAAGGAAUUGGGAAUGACCAUAGCUGAGGUGGUGUCACUCUUCUCCUCCACCGCUGGCCAAUGAUGCAAAUUAUCAGAAAGGACGUGACUCAGUGUCCUUUCUACUCCUGUGGGCAGCACUUAUGCAUGUGACAAACUUCAUUCUUGCAUGGAGAAAGCUCUGAUCUGAGGGUACACUAAGUGACACAAAAAUAAACUUUCUCAGAGUAGGAAUGAUAUUUUCCA